Oenanthe melanoleuca is the source of this 2147-nucleotide long non-coding RNA. RefSeq lists it as uncharacterized. The record is from RefSeq and is a predicted model, not a curated record. The transcript is spliced from 2 exons. Lineage: Eukaryota; Metazoa; Chordata; Aves; Passeriformes; Muscicapidae.
UGAAGCCUCAGGCUGGAAAAUGGCGAGGGCUUGAAACUUUUCUCAGGCAGGGAAGCUCUGAGGCUGAGACAGUUUCUCUCUCAUGCAGAGAAAGUUUUCCCAGGCUUGAGACAGUUUCUCAGUUCCAGCCUGAGCCUUUCCCAGGGUGAUAACGCUGGGGAAAAAUAAAAAGGAAUUAAUAACAAGAUCAACAGCUGUGCUUCGAUGAUAAACAGUUCUCACGGUUUUGUGAGAAAGUUUUGUUUUCUUCAAGUAUCCAAUAGACUGCUGUUCUGUUUGUAGUUUGCGGAACACACUAUAAGAAUGUGGUCCGCAGUUCAAUAAACCGCUUCUUUAGCCACCUAGCUAGAGGAGUCCGUGUCGUUAUUUCUGCGAAAUACAUCGCGAGUAGCGACAUUUGGAGGUUCCACCGAGAUCGCCUUUCAUCGGAGCAGACGAGAUCGGGAUCGGCUUUGGAGCCUCGGAUCGGCGAGCGAAGUCCCGCAGCCCACGGAGCCCCGGCAGCGCCAGGCCGAGAGAUCCCGCAGACCCGCGGAGCCGAGCGCCGAUCAAGCCCGGACGGGGAGAGCCGCGGACUGUUCUCCUUCCCUGCGAGAGAGGGCAGAUCAACGAGAUCGCAAAGACGGUGGUUUCGGAUCCACAGGACCGCCACAAGUCUUUUGGACAAUGAAUAUCUCCGAUCAGCGCCCACAGAUGAUGUGCACUUUGACCCUCUCAGGUGCCACCCCAUCUCAGGUUCAACUCAGAGGUUUGAUUGAUACCGGGGCAGAUGUAACGGUGAUUUCUCUUUCUGCCUGGCCUCCCACAUGGCCCCUGUCCCCUCUUGGCCAAGCCAUUGCAGGCUUGGGAGGCACAGCACAGACUUUCAUCAGUCAGAGGCCUGUGCUGAUCAGAAAUAUGGAAGGGCAGACGGCUACAGUCUGACCCUACAUCACUGCAGCCCCUAUCAACCUCUGGGGACGGGAUGUGUUGGCAGCCUGGGGUGUGCGCAUGGAAGCAAAUUUUUAAUUGGGGUCACUGAAGUGAAGGGCAAAAAUUAUUUUAUGAUGCCUUUACAGUGGUUGACUGAUACCCCUGUUUGGCAGAAAUAGUGGCCCCCACCAAAAAUUAAGUAGUUGUCCCUUUGUCAAUUUGUGACCAUUUUGGUCAUUGAUUUGAAGGAUGGCUUUUCCACAAUCCCCUUGUGCCCUGAGGACAGACCAAAAUUCGUGUUUUUACAGUGCCUGCAAAUUCUGUGAUGGGACAGAGAUAUCAAUUGAAAGUUUUGCCACAGGGUUUCCAAUUAGCCUGACACACUGCAGCAGGCUGCAGCAAGCUUUUACUCACCAGGUAUACCGAGUGGAUUCUUCCAUUGAUAUCUCUGUGUUUAUCAGCACUCCGGAUUUACAUCCUACAGGUAUCAUUGGCCAGUUACCUGGGAGGAUGAGUCUGGUUUGCAAAUGCUGGAAGGCCAUGAGACAAGUGCUGCUCAGAUAAUUGAGUUGAGAGCAGUCACAGUGGCAUUCCAACAAUUUUUUCAGGUACUUUUGAAUUUGGUCAAAAAGUUUUUAUAUAAACAGAAAAGGGGAGUGGCUGGUGAAGAACCACACAGCCGAUUGGGAAAAGUUUUGUAUACCUUCAAUCACCUUACUGUGCCACAAGAUUCUAAUAAUCUUGUUUUUGUGAGUUAUUUCACUUUCUUACAGGCUGCAGAUGAUACAUGCCUGCCUCAUCGUUUGGGGAAGUGGGUAUGCUUGCAUCUCAAUAGAUACUGGGGUGCACUGCCUGCCUGCAAGGUGUGUCCGCCCUGACCUGCGACAUCAGGGACAGAAUGCAGCCGAGGCACAGUCUUCAAAUGCUGAACAAUAUGCCGAUCACCAGCCAGACGAUCCCUCUGCAAGCAGAGGAUGAGCAUUCAUCUGUUUCUUUGGAAAUGUUUUUAGCUUUGGGACAUUGUUAAAUAAGCUCUUUUGAAAUAUAUUAAGAAAUUAUAAGUUUGGAAAAUGGUGAUGGGUUUUGCUAUCAAUGUUAGCACUGAGUUUCUCAAAAAGCACUAGGUGUGAAGAUUUCCCUGAGUGCUUCAGGCAUCCAUAGAUCUCCAGAGUGGUGUUUGUUCUCCUCCACGUAGGGCCCCCGUGGAGGACUACAUGCACUUCUUUCUUUUCUUU